UGAUGUGGCUCAGUCGGUAGAGCGCAUCCUUGGUAAGGAUGAGGUCGCCGGUUCGAUUCCGGCCAUCA
Molecule: transfer RNA, 68 nt
Filed under: bovine gut metagenome
Rfam family: tRNA
About the family: Transfer RNA (tRNA) molecules are approximately 80 nucleotides in length. Their secondary structure includes four short double-helical elements and three loops (D, anti-codon, and T loops).
Source: RNAcentral